This 162-nucleotide ribosomal RNA is filed under the name Trichoderma reesei. RNAcentral describes it as "partial small subunit ribosomal RNA". It matches the Rfam family "Eukaryotic small subunit ribosomal RNA", at positions 1639 to 1798 of the family's 1831-position model. Lineage: Eukaryota; Fungi; Ascomycota; Sordariomycetes; Hypocreales; Hypocreaceae. The record is from RNAcentral.
CGUUGAUUACGUCCCUGCCCUUUGUACACACCGCCCGUCGCUACUACCGAUUGAAUGGCUCAGUGAGGCGUCCGGACUGGCCCAGAGAGGUGGGCAACUACCCCUCAGGGCCGGAAAGCUCUCCAAACUCGGUCAUUUAGAGGAAGUAAAAGUCGUAACAAG